AACGAACGCUGGCGGCAUGCCUAACACAUGCAAGUCGAACGAGACCUUCGGGUCUAGUGGCGCACGGGUGCGUAACGCGUGGGAACCUGCCUUUAGGUUCGGAAUAACUCAGAGAAAUUUGAGCUAAUACCGGAUAAUGUCUUCGGACCAAAGAUUUAUCGCCUUUAGAUGGGCCCGCGUUGGAUUAGCUAGUUGGUGGGGUAAAGGCCUACCAAGGCGACGAUCCAUAGCUGGUCUGAGAGGAUGAUCAGCCACACUGGGACUGAGACGCGGCCCAGACUCCUACAGGAGGCGGCAGUGGGGAAUAUUGGACAAUGGGCGAAAGCCUGAUCCAGCAAUGCCGCGUGAGUGAUGAAGGCCUUAGGGUUGUAAGGCUCUUUUACCCGAGAUGAUAAUGACAGUAUCGGGAGAAUAAGCUCCGGCUAACUCCGUGCCAGCAGCCGCCGUAA
Molecule: ribosomal RNA, 449 nt
Filed under: uncultured bacterium
Lineage: Bacteria
Description: partial 16S ribosomal RNA
Rfam family: Bacterial small subunit ribosomal RNA
Source: RNAcentral